ACGCUUUAAGUGUAUAUAUGCCCAAAAUAUUUCUGUCUUACGUGUUGUGCCUAUCUCUCACCCAAAUGAAACCCCCUAUGAUGAGAUGGUACUGCUAAUAUACUAGGUGUGACCUUUUGGCAUUCUGAAAGCAAAGUCAUUGUUUAGUGGUGACUUUCAGGCUAAUUCUUGUCCUAGCGCACACUGAAUUCUGACCUCAUACAGUCAUACUCUUCCAUCAUCCCUACUCCUUAUUUACAACAAGAUGCGGUAUAUAGUACAACUACAAAUCCUAAGCCGCAAACCGAGAUAUAUCCUCUCUUGUGAAAAUGUUUACAGUACAGAACAGAUAAAAAAUAUGACCAGCCAAACUGAAUGACAUCUCUCUCUCUUCUUUUUCUUUUUUUUUUUUUUUUGCCGGGUUGGCCGAAGAGACGACCAAUCAAAUAUUGUUAAGACUGAAAGGAGAGUUUUACAGAUUGCAAAUGCAUCGACGGUAGAAGCUCAAUGACAUUAUAGCUAGCCACGAAAUGCUAUUCUUCAGCUAAGCCAAAAGGCACAAAUAACAUAUCUGAAACACACAUAUAUUCUGUCAGAAAGUAUCAUUCCCCGGAAAUAUGUGGAUCGAUCGACCAGCAAUAUUUUGUGAGGUUCAUCUGUGACGCGAGGGCGACAUGAAGCAACAAAGGUAGCUAGUGCGGCUAUUUUCUGAAGCUCAAGUUGGCGAGGAAUUCGCACCUGCUUUCCAAGCACAGGGCCACGCAAACCCGUAUUUCACAAGUUAGGGCAGGUUCCAAUCCAAUUAUAUUAGGGGUACAAGACGCAACUUUUUUUUGGCUGAUGAGAUUUGCCUUUUGAUAACAACAACAACAGCUAGCUGAUGUUUUCAGUGAAGGGGACAUGCACGGUGAAAAGAAGAAGAAUCAAAUGGAAGAUCACGAAGAGGCGAAUAUUCACGUGAUCAUCAGUAUAAGGACGAAAUAUAUGCAGUGGAUAACCUUUAUUCUUAGAAGGACGUUAAAAAGGGGAAAAGGCAAAAGGAAACAAAUGAGGCUGAGCUUCUUUUUUCCUUGCUAAAUUUGACUCUGGAAAAGGGCAGCAAAGAAAGAUGAUGCUGUGCAGAGUAUUCUAGCCUUCUAGGUUCUAAUUUCUAUUCGCCUGAUGAGUUUGUUGCUGAAAAUAAACAGGUGAGAUUCUGCUCAGUAACUGGGUACAGUUCAUUUGACAGUGAUGCUU
RNAcentral lists this long non-coding RNA (1215 nucleotides) under Oryza sativa Japonica Group (Japanese rice). RNAcentral's name for it is "partial lncRNA91337". The record is from RNAcentral. Lineage: Eukaryota; Viridiplantae; Streptophyta; Magnoliopsida; Poales; Poaceae.